RNAcentral lists this ribosomal RNA (996 nucleotides) under Stenotrophomonas sp. RNAcentral's name for it is "bacterial SSU rRNA". It matches the Rfam family "Bacterial small subunit ribosomal RNA", at positions 35 to 1034 of the family's 1533-position model. Lineage: Bacteria; Pseudomonadati; Pseudomonadota; Gammaproteobacteria; Lysobacterales; Lysobacteraceae. The record is from RNAcentral.
GAUGUCCGUUAGGGCUACCAUGCAAGUCGCACGGCAGCACAGGAGAGCUUGCUCCUUGGGUGGCGAGUGGCGGACGGGUGAGGAAUACAUCGGAAUCUACUUUUUCGUGGGGGAUAACGUAGGGAAACUUACGCUAAUACCGCAUACGACCUACGGGUGAAAGCAGGGGACCUUCGGGCCUUGCGCGAUUGAAUGAGCCGAUGUCGGAUUAGCUAGUUGGCGGGGUAAAGGCCCACCAAGGCGACGAUCCGUAGCUGGUCUGAGAGGAUGAUCAGCCACACUGGAACUGAGACACGGUCCAGACUCCUACGGGAGGCAGCAGUGGGGAAUAUUGGACAAUGGGCGCAAGCCUGAUCCAGCCAUACCGCGUGGGUGAAGAAGGCCUUCGGGUUGUAAAGCCCUUUUGUUGGGAAAGAAAUCCAGCUGGCUAAUACCCGGUUGGGAUGACGGUACCCAAAGAAUAAGCACCGGCUAACUUCGUGCCAGCAGCCGCGGUAAUACGAAGGGUGCGAGCGUUACUCGGAAUUACUGGGCGUAAAGCGUGCGUAGGUGGUCGCUUAAGUCCGUUGUGAAAGCCCUGGGCUCAACCUGGGAACUGCAGUGGAUACUGGGCGACUAGAGUGUGGUAGAGGGUAGCGGAAUUCCUGGUGUAGCAGUGAAAUGCGUAGAGAUCAGGAGGAACAUCCAUGGGGAAGGCAGCUACCUGGACCACACUGACACUGAGGCACGAAAGCGUGGGGAGCAACAGGAUUAGAUACCCUGGGAGUCCACGCCCUAAACGAUGCGAACUGGAUGUUGUGUGCAAUUUGGCACGCAUUAUCGAAGCUAACGCGUUAAUUCGCCGCCUGGGAGUACGGUCGCAAGACUGAACUCAAAGAAUUGACGGGGCCCGCACAGCGGGGGAGAUGUGUUUUAUUCGAGUCACGCGAAGAACUUUACUGGGCUUGAAAUGUCUAAACUUUCCGAGAGGGAUGGGGCCUUCGGAAAUCUAAAACG